Molecule: ribosomal RNA, 500 nt
Filed under: uncultured bacterium
Lineage: Bacteria
Description: partial 16S ribosomal RNA
Rfam family: Bacterial small subunit ribosomal RNA
Source: RNAcentral
AUUGAACGCUGGCGGAAUGCUUUACACAUGCAAGUCGAACGGCAGCACGGACUUCGGUCUGGUGGCGAGUGGCGAACGGGUGAGUAAUGUAUCGGAACGUGCCCAGUCGUGGGGGAUAACGUAGCGAAAAUUACGCUAAUACCGCAUACGAUCUAGGGAUGAAAGCGGGGGAUCGCAAGACCUCGCGCGAUUGGAGCGGCCGAUAUCAGAUUAGGUAGUUGGUGGAGUAAAGGCCCACCAAGCAAACGAUCUGUAGCUGGUCUGAGAGGACGACCAGCCACACUGGAACUGAGACACGGUCCAGACUCCUACGGGAGGCAGCAGUGGGGAAUUUUGGACAAUGGGCGAAAGCCUGAUCCAGCCAUUCCGCGUGCAGGAUGAAGGCCCUCGGGUUGUAAACUGCUUUUGUACAGAAUGAAAAGGUUUCUACUAAUACUAGGAGCUCAUGACGGUACUGUAAGAAUAAGCACCGGCUAACUACGUGCCAGCCGCCGCAGUAA